GGCUCGCGGCCGCCGGGGGGCGGGGCGAACGGGGCGGGGCCGCGGGAGGAGCUGCGUGGCUCCGCCCCCACAGCGUCGCGUGACGUCGCCCGUAGCGACCGCGGCCUCGCUGAGGGGCCGGAGCGGCGGCGGGAGGAGCGUGAGGGACUCGCGGUCUCAGCAGCUUUUCCCAGCGAUGGAGCCUCCUUGGCUGGCUGAGGGGCCAAGAGACCAGCCCUGUGCCCUGCUUGGAAAGCAGCAGCGCUUCAUCUGGGAAACUCCCCAGUGAGUGACUUGUCCAGCAAACAGCAUCUCCAUGCCUCUCCUGUGCCUGGUCCUCAGCACCCAGGGAUACUCAGUGUGGUGACUUUUUGCACGUGUGCUCAGCCCUGAGGGACUCGGGACCCCACCAGCCUUCCGGAAAGGUAGGGACUGAGAGGCCUUUGCCACAGAACCAAGAGGAGCCUCAGGGGCUGGGAGCCCAAUGGGUACCUCCCAGCUCCCAAAAUGGCCCUGAGCUCUCCCCCAGGAGGGCUCCUUCCCUCUGUCACCCCGGCAGCCCUGGCAUUUGUGCCCAGCCAAGUUCUUUCCCGUUCCAGCCCUUCCCCACCAGCUGCCGGGGCCACUCUCCUCCCUGUGGGAUCCAGAAUCCCUGUGGGACCUUGUCCUGCAGAGUGGAGGCUGUGGAAAGCCCUGCCCAUCCCUGUGUGGAGAGGGGCCGAGGCAAGAGGGCUGCAAAUCUCCUACCUGCCAGGUGGGAUCAGCAGGUUGGAAGUAGCAGAAGUUGUCACUGAUCCACUUGCAAAUGGCCGAGAGGGUGAUCUUGGGCUUCUUGCUGGCUUCCAUCGCCAUGCAGAUGAGGGUGGCGUAGGAGUAGGGUGGCCUGACGUGCGGGUUGGUCUUGUAGUUGAUGUUCCCCAUGAGCUGAGAGGGCUCAGCCACGUCGUGGUGCGUCGUGGUGGUCAUGGAGGUGGUGGAGGAGGAGAUGGCCGCGCGGGGAAUGUCGAUGUACUCGCACAGCUCCUCAGCAGUCAGGGGAAAGCCUGGGGACUGAAAGUCCACCAGACUGACCAGAUUUUCCCAGAUGGUGCAGCGGUCCUCGGGGUCCUCAGAUAUCGGGGGCAAGCCAAUGUGGGCCCCUGUGAGGUUAACCAGCCACGUGAGGUCUGGCUCACUGCCAGGCCUGUCUUCCUUGGUGGAGCUCAAUUGCCUCUGAGCUCUCAGCACAGGGCUGGAGCACACCAUGCCUUGGCACGUCACCGGGUGCAUGUUAACGGGAGGGAAUGGAUGGGACAGAUCCUGCAAGAACAAGAGGGAGAGGGUUGAGGUUCCCAGAGGCACAGUCGCUCUCUGGCACCUGGGCAGGGCUGGGCCUGAGUGCUCCAGAUGUCACUGGGCAAGACCCAUCCCUGGAGUACUGGGCAUGGGAGCUGCAACAUCUUCCCUAGGGGUACUUUAGCAGCCCUGGCCCUCGGGAAAAUUCCCUCAAACCGUCGUGCUCCCAGUGCCACCCAAACUCCAGUGGGCUGGUGCUGCCCAGCAAGCUUUUGGCUGAAAAACCAACAAACCCUCCCCACAACCAACCAAAAUCCGGCCCUGCCGUCCCACCAAGAGAGGUCGUUUCUCCCACCUGUCGUGAGCAGGGCAAAUAUUCAGGGUCUAACACCUCGGCUAAAGACCCUAAAGUCUUCAUCUGGUCCGUCCCAUCCCCACAACCUGCUUCCCUCGGUUUGAUGCUGAUUAUGCUUCUCCCUUCCCCUGGUACCCCAAACCAACCCGGGUGGGGUUGCAGGGACCCACGCCAAGCACAGCGUCACUUGGAGCCAGCCGGCAGCUCCAGGCUUUGGGGAAUACCGGGCAGGGGAUGCGGCGCUGGCUCCGGUGCCGGGCUGCAAAAGCGGAGUGCCGUGGUGGAUUUUGGGCCACGAGAGAGCGAGCUCCCGGACGGCAGCGGGGGCCGCUGGCCCGGCUGUCGCGGGGGUUUGGCGGCGAGAACGAUGCGGAACCCCCCGCGCGGGCGGCGCGGCCGUUGGGGGGAGCAGGGGCAGCUCCCCUCCCGCUUCCAGGAAACGGGCUUUUUAUUUUUAUUCUCCCGGACCAGGACAGGGGUUUUCCGCCAAAACGAAGGCUCCGGGCAGCUUGCUCAGGUGCCCGGUCCCCAGCGUCAGCACCCAGCCCCGGCCUGCUCCCGCGCCCGCAGUACGGGAGGGGGGGCAUCCCCCAAGUGCUCGCUCGCCGCAACCCUCCGCAGCGGCGGGCGGGCCCGUCCCGCCGCCCUCCCCAGCCCCCGGCCGCUCCCCGCCGCCGUCCCUUACCCCGUGCCGGUGUCGCGCCGCAGCUUCCGCAGCUCAGGAGAGAGCUCGUCGUUGUUGGAAAGGCAGGGCGGCAGCAAAAAAAAACCAACAAAACAAUCCGUAGGGAAAAAAGAAGGGGCAAGAGCAGGGCCGAGGACCCGCCGCCCUGCGCUGUGCCCGGGCCGGGCCGUGCCCGCCGAGUCGCUGACAGUCGCCGACAGUCGCCGACAGUCGCGGCCGCCCCGGCGCUGGGGACGGGGGGUCUGAGAGGAUUCGCGCGUGGCGGCGGCGACGCCCCGCCCCGUCAACAUCGCCCGGCCCUGCCAUUGGUGCGCGCGUUGCCGUGGGCGGGGCCUGUCGGACGGGCACCGCCCCCGCGGCGGGAAGGGGCCCGGGGGGAUCCCCGGGGAUGCUGGGGAAUCAUGGAAUCAUGGAAUCGGCCGGGGUGGAAGGGACCUCUGAGAUCAUCAAGUCCAACCUUUGGUCCACUACUACUAAGUGCCACAUCCAGUCUCAUCUUAAAAACAUCCAGGGAUGGAGAAUCCACCCCUUCCCUGGGCAGCCCAUUCCAAUGGCUGCCCCCCCUCUCUGUAAAGAAUUUCUUCCUAAUAUCCAACCUAAACCUCCCCUGGCACAGCUGAAGACCGAGCCCUCUUGUCUUGCUGAUGGUUGCCUGGGAGAAGAGACCAACCCCCCCCCGGCUCCCCCCUCCUGUCAGGGAGUUGCAGAGAGUGAGGAGGUCUCCCCUGAGCCUCCUCUUCUCCAGGCUGAGCCCCCCCAGCUCCCUCAGCCUCUCCUCACAGCACUUGUGCUCCAGUCCCUUCCCCAACCUCGUUGCUCUUCCCUGGACCUGCUCCAGGACCUCCAUGUCCUUCCUGAGCUGAGGGCCCAGAACUGGACACAGCACUCCAGGGGUGGCCUCACCAGCGCUGAGUCCAGGGCAAGAAUCACUUCCUUGGACCUGUUGGCCACCCUGUUCCUGAGCCAGGCCAGGAUCCAUUGGCCUUCUUGUCCCCCUGGGCACACUCUGGCUCCUGUUCAGCUCCCUGUCCAUCUAAACUCCCAGAUCCCUUCCUGCCUGGCUGCUCUCCAGCCACUCUGUCCCAGCCUGUGGGGCUGCAUGGGGUUGUUGUAUGGUGGACCAGCUGUACCCCACAGCCAGCCCCAGCAGCCCCAAAGCCUGUGUCCAAGAUUUUGGAGACAAUGGGGUAGAACCCCCACCCCAAAAAAGGCUCUUCCGCCCACCAAAACCCAACCUCACAGAUACUCAUACAACACCAACAUGUAAAGCCUUUUAUUUUCACCUUGAUUUUUAUUUGAUCCAUCUUCAUUCCUUCAAAACACCUGAAAUUGGGGUAAAAAUAAAGAAAUACAACAAAGCA
Molecule: long non-coding RNA, 3655 nt
Organism: Pseudopipra pipra
Lineage: Eukaryota; Metazoa; Chordata; Aves; Passeriformes; Pipridae
Exons: 2
Source: RefSeq, a predicted model, not a curated record